Molecule: long non-coding RNA, 166 nt
Filed under: Anser cygnoides (Swan goose)
Lineage: Eukaryota; Metazoa; Chordata; Aves; Anseriformes; Anatidae
Description: lncRNA (ENSACDG00005000139.1)
Source: RNAcentral
UCUGACCUUGGAGUGCUCAGGCCUUGUUAGCUGCCAACCAACCCCAGGUGCUGCCCCCGCAAGAUGGACCUGCCGUCCUGCUGUUGUGGUACUCACACCCUCUGCUUUUUAACUCUGACAUGCUUUGGGAAUGUCCAGUUUAUUCUGCAGCUCCUCAGUGUGACAU